AACGGUCUAUACCUGCGGUACCUGCGGAGGGAUCAUUAUCGAGUGUUAACCUACCCCUUAAAAAAGGGUGGUACCUCCCGUCCUUUGUAAAAAGGUCCCCUUUUUUUUAUUGGGGACUCUUUAAGACUUUUUUUCUGCUUCGGCGGGGUUAAAUCCCGCCGGAACACCCUCAAAAAUUCUUGAUUCAAAACAGUUCAGUCCGAGAAAUUUUGAAAAUAAAAAAAAAACUUUUAGCAAUGG
RNAcentral lists this unclassified non-coding RNA (240 nucleotides) under soil metagenome. RNAcentral describes it as "partial contains 5.8S ribosomal RNA, internal transcribed spacer 2, and large subunit ribosomal RNA". The record is from RNAcentral.